Long non-coding RNA from Oncorhynchus kisutch (coho salmon), 2619 nucleotides. The record is from Ensembl. NCBI's taxonomy places the organism in Eukaryota, Metazoa, Chordata, Actinopteri, Salmoniformes, Salmonidae.
AUGCCCACUGCACUGUUCAGUCCUUCCACAUGCCCACUGCACUGUUCAGUCCUUCCACAUGCCCACUGCACUGUUCAGUCCUUCCACAUGCCCACUGCACUGUUCAGUCCUUCCACAUGCCCACUGCACUGUUCAGUCCUUCCACAUGCCCACUGCCACUGCACUGUCCAGUCCUUCCACAUGCCCACUGCCACUGCACUGUCCAGUCCUUCCACAUGCCCACUGCCACUGCACUGUCCAGUCCUUCCACAUGCCCACUGCCACUGCACUGUUCAGUCCUUCCACAUGCCCACUGCCACUGCACUGUCCAGUCCUUCCACAUGCCCACUGCCACUGCACUGUUCAGUCCUUCCACAUGCCCACUGCCACUGCACUGUCCAGUCCUUCCACAUGCCCACUGCCACUGCACUGUUCAGUCCUUCCACAUGCCCACUGCCACUGCACUGUUCAGUCCUUCCACAUGCCCACUGCCACUGCACUGUUCAGUCCUUCCACAUGCCCACUGCCACUGCACUGUCCAGUCCUUCCACAUGCCCACUGCCACUGCACUGUUCAGUCCUUCCACAUGCCCACUGCCACUGCACUGUCCAGUCCUUCCACAUGCCCACUGCCACUGCACUGUUCAGUCCUUCCACAUGCCCACUGCCACUGCACUGUUCAGUCCUUCCACAUGCCCACUGCCACUGCACUGUCCAGUCCUUACACAUGCCCACUGCCACUGCACUGUUCAGUCCUUCCACAUGCCCACUGCCACUGCACUGUCCAGUCCUUCACUGUUCAGUGCUGUUCACUGCACUGUUCAGUCCUUCCACAUGCCCACUGCCACUGCACUGUUCAGUCCUUCCACAUGCCCACUGCCACUGCACUGUCCAGUCCUUCCACAUGCCCACUGCCACUGCACUGUUCAGUCCUUCCACAUGCCCACUGCCACUGCACUGUUCAGUCCUUCCACAUGCCCACUGCCACUGCACUGUCCAGUCCUUCCACAUGCCCACUGCCACUGCACUGUUCAGUCCUUCCACAUGCCCACUGCCACUGCACUGUUCAGUCCUUCCACAUGCCCACUGCCACUGCACUAUUCAGUCCUUCCACAUGCCCACUGCCACUGCACUGUUCAGUCCUUCCACAUGCCCACUGCCACUGCACUGUCCAGUCCUUACACAUGCCCACUGCCACUGCACUGUUCAGUCCUUCCACAUGCCCACUGCCACUGCACUGUCCAGUCCUUCACUGUUCAGUGCUGUUCACUGCACUGUUCAGUCCUUCCACAUGCCCACUGCCACUGCACUGUCCAGUCCUUCACUGUUCAGUGCUGUUCACUGCACUGUUCAGUCCUUCCACAUGCCCACUGCCACUGCACUGUUCAGUCCUUCCACAUGCCCACUGCCACUGCACUGUCCAGUCCUUCCACAUGCCCACUGCCACUGCACUGUUCAGUCCUUCCACAUGCCCACUGCCACUGCACUGUUCAGUCCUUCCACAUGCCCACUGCCACUGCACUGUCCAGUCCUUCCACAUGCCCACUGCCACUGCACUGUUCAGUCCUUCCACAUGCCCACUGCCACUGCACUGUUCAGUCCUUCCACAUGCCCACUGCCACUGCACUAUUCAGUCCUUCCACAUGCCCACUGCCACUGCACUGUUCAGUCCUUCCACAUGCCCACUGCCACUGCACUGUCCAGUCCUUACACAUGCCCACUGCCACUGCACUAUUCAGUCCUUCCACAUGCCCACUGCCACUGCACUGUUCAGUCCUUCCACAUGCCCACUGCCACUGCACUGUCCAGUCCUUACACAUGCCCACUGCCACUGCACUGUUCAGUCCUUCCACAUGCCCACUGCCACUGCACUGUCCAGUCCUUCACUGUUCAGUGCUGUUCACUGCACUGUUCAGUCCUUCCACAUGCCCACUGCCACUGCACUGUUCAGUCCUUCCACAUGCCCACUGCCACUGCACUGUCCAGUCCUUCCACAUGCCCACUGCCACUGCACUGUUCAGUCCUUCCACAUGCCCACUGCCACUGCACUGUUCAGUCCUUCCACAUGCCCACUGCCACUGCACUGUCCAGUCCUUCCACAUGCCCACUGCCACUGCACUGUUCAGUCCUUCCACAUGCCCACUGCCACUGCACUGUCCAGUCCUUCCACAUGCCCACUGCCACUGCACUGUCCAGUCCUUCCACAUGCCCACUGCCACUACACUGUUCAGUCCUUCCACAUGCCCACUGCCACUGCACUGUUCAGUCCUUCCACAUGCCCACUGCCACUGCACUGUCCAGUCCUUCCACAUGCCCACUGCCACUGCACUGUCCAGUCCUUCCACAUGCCCACUGCCACUACACUGUCCAGUCCUUCCACAUGCCCACUGCCACUACACUGUCCAGUCCUUCCACAUGCCCACUGCCACUACACUGUCCAGUCCUUCCACAUGCCCACUGCCACUACACUGUCCAGUCCUUCCACAUGCCCACUGCCACUACACUGUCCAGUCCUUCCACAUGCCCACUGCCACUACACUGUCCAGUCCUUCCACAUGCCCACUGCCACUGCACUGUUCAGUCCUUCCACAUGCCCACUGCCACUGCACUGUUCAAUCUACUUUGUGACUUUUUCAAAUGA